Molecule: long non-coding RNA, 504 nt
Organism: Girardinichthys multiradiatus
Lineage: Eukaryota; Metazoa; Chordata; Actinopteri; Cyprinodontiformes; Goodeidae
Exons: 3
Source: RefSeq, a predicted model, not a curated record
GCCACCAUUAAAGCAGGUCAAUCCACACGGUUACGUGCGAUGGCUGGCAAAAGGAAGAAGAUCUGCUGAUGAGAGGGCUUGUGAAGUACCAAACCAAUCAAGCAAAGAAGAAAUCAAGACCUGCUGGAUCCUUCCUUAACCUCUGCCAUCUCCUAUCCAUAUCUGCCCCUGUUGUGUGAUGAAGGUGGAGACAGACAGCUUGUUUUUGUUGCCUUUCAGGAGACUCCACGUUCCAAACGGUGAAAGCUGCCUUACCCCCAGUAACUGACAGUCCCCUGCACCAGUUCCAGCCAGGACAGUGGGUGCUGAUUAGGGACACCAGGAGACGUCACUGGAGAGACAAACGGUGGAGAGGUCCGUUUCAAAUUCUGCUUCUGGUUCUGAAUCCCCUGCCUAGAGGGGCUUCCAACCACCGAACCCCUGUACCAGACUGGUAACAGGGCAGCUUGAAGCGCAGAAGCCACUCAGGAGAGGCAGCAGGAUUUUUUUUAUUUUGUUUAUGAU